GUCUGUGCCCAUAUCACCUUCAUCAUGCCUGUUCUCAUUUAGUCUUAGAAACUAAUUAGGCUCAGGCUAGGUUAACACCUAAUUGGGAGAUUAUCUAGGAAUUCCAUGUGCUGUACACU
RNAcentral lists this ribosomal RNA (119 nucleotides) under Phascolarctos cinereus (koala). The record is from RNAcentral. Lineage: Eukaryota; Metazoa; Chordata; Mammalia; Diprotodontia; Phascolarctidae.